Molecule: ribosomal RNA, 360 nt
Filed under: Triticum aestivum (bread wheat)
Lineage: Eukaryota; Viridiplantae; Streptophyta; Magnoliopsida; Poales; Poaceae
Description: partial small subunit ribosomal RNA
Source: RNAcentral
AUGAUGUUUCCCGGGGCCCAAAGCUGUCUAAAUCUUUGUCUUGUGUUGCGUUUUCUCAAUUCCGCUCAAACCCUCUCAAGCUACCACAUAGAUGCGUUGGCCUCACGACUAAGUCCUCACACUAGUACAUCUGCCGUGACAAUUCCACAACAGUUGGCGUCCACCGUGGGGCCUGCGCACGAUGGUGUUGAGUUCUUGAAGGGAUCUCUCCCAGGGAUCGAGAAGUUCGCGCUGGACAGGUGGAAGAAGAGCCGCCAUGGAACAAUUGCGUGGGAUAACCUAACAGGGGAUAACCUUGGGCAGAGCCAGCGAAUUCAUUGGUUGAUGAUUAGAAUCUUUAUUGACUUUGGAAGCUGGUAG